RNAcentral lists this ribosomal RNA (497 nucleotides) under uncultured bacterium. RNAcentral describes it as "partial 16S ribosomal RNA". It matches the Rfam family "Bacterial small subunit ribosomal RNA", at positions 28 to 507 of the family's 1533-position model. The record is from RNAcentral.
GAUGAACGCUGGCGGCGUGCCUAAUACAUGCAAGUCGAGCGAACAGACGAGGAGCUUGCUCCUCUGACGUUAGCGGCGGACGGGUGAGUAACACGUGGAUAACCUACCUAUAAGACUGGGAUAACUUCGGGAAACCGGAGCUAAUACCGGAUAAUAUAUUGAACUGCAUGGUGCCAUAGUGAAAGACGGUUUUGCUGUCAGUUAUAGAUUGAUCCGCGCCGCAUUAGCUAGUUGGUAAGGGAACGGCUUAUCAAGGCAACGAUGGGUAGCCGCCCUCAAGGGGUGAUCCGCCACACUGGAACUGAGACACGGUCCAGACACCUGCGGGAGGCAACAGUAGGGAAUCUUCCGCGAUGGGCGAAUGCCUGACGGAGCAACGCCGCGUGAGUGAUGAAGGUCUUCGGAUCGUAAAACGCUGUUAGUAGGGAAGAACAAAUGUGUAAGUAACUAUGCACGUCUUGACGGUACCUAAUCAAAAAGCCACGGCUAACUACGUG